RNAcentral lists this ribosomal RNA (306 nucleotides) under uncultured bacterium. RNAcentral describes it as "partial 16S ribosomal RNA". It matches the Rfam family "Bacterial small subunit ribosomal RNA", at positions 507 to 807 of the family's 1533-position model. The record is from RNAcentral.
GACAGCAGCCGCCACGGGAAUACAGAGGGUGCGAGCGUUAAUCGGAUUUACUGGGCGUAAAGCGUGCGUAGGCGGCUUCUUAAGUCGGAUGUGAAAUCCCCGAGCUUAACUUAGGAAUUGCAUUCGAUACUGGGAAGCUAGAGUAUGGGAGAGGAUGGUAGAAUUCCAGGUGUAGCGGUGAAAUGCGUAGAGAUCUGGAGGAAUACCGAUGGCGAAGGCAGCCAUCUGGCCUAAUACUGACGCUGAGGUACGAAAGCAUGGGGAGCAAACAGGAUUAGAUACCCCAGUAGUCCCUGUCUCUUAUAC